ACAAGCAGCGAGCGUGUGGUUUAAUUCGAUGCUACACGAAGAACCUUACCAGGGUUUGACAUACAAGUAGUAGGGAAGGAAACUGGACCGACCCUUCGGGGAGCUUGUACAGGUGCUGCAUGGCUGUCGUCAGCUCGUGUCGUGAGAUGUUCGGUUAAGUCCGCUAACGAGCGCAACCCUCGCUGUGUGUUACAAGUGUCACACGGAACUGCCGGUCAUAAACCGGAGGAAGUGGGAUGACGUCAAGUCAGCAUGGCCUUUAUAUCCUGGGCUACACACACGCUACAAUGGGAAGGGACAAUAGGUUGCGAAGCCGCGAGGCGGAGCCAAUCCAGCAAAACUUCCCUCAGUUCAGAUUGCGGGCUGCAACCCGCCUGCAUGAAGUUGGAAUCGCUAGUAAUCGUGGAUCAGCCAAGCCGCGGUGAAUACGUUCCCGGGCCUU
RNAcentral lists this ribosomal RNA (442 nucleotides) under uncultured Anaerolineaceae bacterium. RNAcentral describes it as "bacterial SSU rRNA". It matches the Rfam family "Bacterial small subunit ribosomal RNA", at positions 925 to 1382 of the family's 1533-position model. The record is from RNAcentral. Lineage: Bacteria; Bacillati; Chloroflexota; Anaerolineae; Anaerolineales; Anaerolineaceae.